GUGAGGGUUGUCCUCCAAGGAGCCAUCCAGCUUAUCUUCCGCCGUCCAGAUGGGCCGCGUCUGCUGCUCUCGAAUGAUAGCCUUGAACUCCUGGUACCAGGUGUCACUCGUGCCAUUCAGAGGGAUGGUGGCUGUGAAGAGGUGGCUGCUCUGCUUCCGCAGCUUCUGGGCUUGUGCGUAGAGGCGGCGGGUACUGCGGCAGGAGGCAGGCGCCAGCCAACUUAGCUCCUUCUAAAUUGUCCUCAUACAUCCAGUGAUUUUCAGAUCAUUUUCAUUCAAAGACUGAUUGAGAAAAUCUCAGAAGAUUAAAGAGAAUAAAGGAUCUGACUUG
Long non-coding RNA from Homo sapiens (human), 331 nucleotides. The record is from Ensembl. NCBI's taxonomy places the organism in Eukaryota, Metazoa, Chordata, Mammalia, Primates, Hominidae.